This 413-nucleotide ribosomal RNA is filed under the name uncultured prokaryote. Its description in RNAcentral is "bacterial SSU rRNA". It matches the Rfam family "Bacterial small subunit ribosomal RNA", at positions 505 to 918 of the family's 1533-position model. The record is from RNAcentral.
GUGUCAGCCGCCGCGGUAAUACGGAGGGUGCGAGCGUUGUCCGGAAUCAUUGGGUGUAAAGGGUGCGUAGGCGGGCUGCUAAGUCUGGGGUGAAAUCCUGCCGCUUAACGGUAGAAUGGCCCCCGAUACUGGCAGUCUUGAGUACAGAAGAGGUCGGUGGAAUUCGUAGUGUAGCGGUGAAAUGCAUAGAUAUUACGAAGAACACCAGUGGCGAAGGCGGCCGGCUGGUCUGUAACUGACGCUGAGGCACGAAAGCGUGGGGAGCGAACAGGAUUAGAUACCCUGGUAUUCCACGCCGUAAACGAUGAAUGCCAGCUGUCGGGCAGCAUGCUGUUCGGUGGCGCAGCUAACGCAUUAAGCAUUCCGCCUGGGGAGUACGGUCGCAAGAUUAAAACUUAAAUGAAUUGACGGGG